This is a long non-coding RNA of Odocoileus virginianus texanus, 695 nucleotides long. RefSeq lists it as uncharacterized. The record is from RefSeq and is a predicted model, not a curated record. NCBI's taxonomy places the organism in Eukaryota, Metazoa, Chordata, Mammalia, Artiodactyla, Cervidae.
GCCCCUCGGAAUAUUGUUUUGAGAAGGGGGAGACGAGUCUGUUUCCCCGAACAGGACCUGGACAGCCUCUUCAGGUCUGCAGCCGGAGACACCCUCUCCGAAAUUUCUCAGGAAAUUCUACCUUAGAAAGAUCUAGUUAACGCAGGUUAGAAAGCUGGUCUUUUAUUAGUUCAAGAACCUAGCGAGCAGCUCAUUUAGCCAGGUGUCGGUAGUGGGUGAGAACAGUCGAGGACAAAAUUAAAUUAGGUGUGUUUCCUGGCUUUAAGUUCAGCUACUGUCGUGGGGAUUUACUAUUUCUCUCUCCUGCACAGGGAGAUAAUUUUUUAAAAAAAGUAAGAGGCAUAACCUUGGGGAGUCAGACCUGAGUUGAAAAUCCUUUUUGCUUACACUUGGGUUUCUGUUUUGAUCUGGCAAAUGAUUGUACCAGCACAUGGUAAACGUGUAUUUAGCCCUUCCUUUUGCCAGGCACUGUACUAAAUGCGCUAUGUACAGUCUUAAAAUCCUUACAACAGCCCUCUGAGCUGCAGGAUGGAGAGCCUUCAGCAAUUCCUGGGAAACUUAGGACUUCGUUUAUAGGGUGCUGUGAACACCCUCAGGGCACCAAAUGAAGGCGUGGCUGAAAAGGCUGAUUUACUGCGGAGGUGGAGAAUAGGAAGCAAGACUCCAGCCUCCAUGACCUUCCCUGAGUUCCAAAG